RNAcentral lists this long non-coding RNA (355 nucleotides) under Gallus gallus (chicken). Lineage: Eukaryota; Metazoa; Chordata; Aves; Galliformes; Phasianidae. The record is from RNAcentral.
UGCAGAUAGGGCACAAAUAAUUAUCUUAGCAACUGCCAGAGAAAUUUUGCUGUCCAAACUUGCUCUGAAAGAAGUCCGCUUUUAUACAGUCUUGGACAAAGACAAGGCCUUCAUGGUGGUAGAUAUAGGGCAGUGACUUUUUAGUCAGCUAAGUCAUAUGAAAGUCAAAUUACUUGUCAAGAAGAUAACACUUUUUCUGUGUUCUUUUCAGAAACUGCCAUCUAUUAGGCCAUGAAGCACAAGCAACAUCAGAAGAAACUUCCAAAGUAGCCAUGCUCUGAGAGUGUUCUGUCCUGAUCUGAGUAACACUGAAAUGUUAUCUGAGUGUUGGGAGAAACUAUUCAAAAGAAAAAUC